This 531-nucleotide ribosomal RNA is filed under the name Vibrio cholerae. Its description in RNAcentral is "partial 23S ribosomal RNA". It matches the Rfam family "Bacterial large subunit ribosomal RNA", at positions 2267 to 2797 of the family's 2925-position model. Lineage: Bacteria; Pseudomonadati; Pseudomonadota; Gammaproteobacteria; Vibrionales; Vibrionaceae. The record is from RNAcentral.
AGUUUGACUGGGGCGGUCUCCUCCCAAAGAGUAACGGAGGAGCACGAAGGUGGGCUAAUCACGGUUGGACAUCGUGAGGUUAGUGCAAUGGCAUAAGCCCGCUUAACUGCGAGAAUGACGGUUCGAGCAGGUGCGAAAGCAGGUCAUAGUGAUCCGGUGGUUCUGUAUGGAAGGGCCAUCGCUCAACGGAUAAAAGGUACUCCGGGGAUAACAGGCUGAUACCGCCCAAGAGUUCAUAUCGACGGCGGUGUUUGGCACCUCGAUGUCGGCUCAUCACAUCCUGGGGCUGAAGUCGGUCCCAAGGGUAUGGCUGUUCGCCAUUUAAAGUGGUACGCGAGCUGGGUUUAGAACGUCGUGAGACAGUUCGGUCCCUAUCUGCCGUGGGCGUUGGAAGAUUGAAGGGGGCUGCUCCUAGUACGAGAGGACCGGAGUGGACGAACCUCUGGUGUUCGGGUUGUGUCGCCAGACGCAUUGCCCGGUAGCUAAGUUCGGAAUUGAUAAGCGCUGAAAGCAUCUAAGCGCGAAGCGAGC